UACGUAGGGGGCGAGCGUUGUCCGGAGUUACUGGGCGUAAAGCGUCCGCAGGUGGUUAGCCAAGUUUCGACUGACAGUGCCCGGCUUAACUGGGCAAGGCGUCGGAAAACUGGCCAACUUGAGGGCUUCAGAGGGACACGGAAUUCCGGGUGGAGUGGUGAAAUGCGUAGAGAUCCGGAGGAACACCAAAGGCGUAGGCAGUGUCCUGGGGAGUACCUGACACUCAUGGACGAAAGCCAGGGGAGCGAACGGGAUUAGAUACCCCGGUAGUCCUGGCCGUAAACGAUGACCACUAGGUAUGCGGGGUAUCGACCCCCUGCGUGCCGUCACUAACGUAUUAAGUGGUCCGCCUGAGGAGUACGGUCGCAAGAUUAAA
RNAcentral lists this ribosomal RNA (376 nucleotides) under uncultured bacterium. RNAcentral describes it as "bacterial SSU rRNA". It matches the Rfam family "Bacterial small subunit ribosomal RNA", at positions 524 to 898 of the family's 1533-position model. The record is from RNAcentral.